UCGCAAGACGAUGUAUACGGACUGACGCCUGCCCGGUGCUGGAAGGUUAAGAGGAAGGGUUAGCCUUUGGGCGAAGCUCUGAAUUUAAGCCCCAGUAAACGGCGGUGGUAACUAUAACCAUCCUAAGGUAGCGAAAUUCCUUGUCGGGUAAGUUCCGACCUGCACGAAUGGCGUAACGACUUCCCAGCUGUCUCAACCGCGAACUCGGCGAAAUUGCACUACGAGUAAAGAUGCUCGUUACGCGCAGCAGGACGGAAAGACCCCGGGACCUUUACUAUAGUUUGGUAUUGGUGAUUGGGACGG
RNAcentral lists this ribosomal RNA (303 nucleotides) under uncultured Micromonas. RNAcentral's name for it is "partial Bacterial large subunit ribosomal RNA". It matches the Rfam family "Bacterial large subunit ribosomal RNA", at positions 1831 to 2132 of the family's 2925-position model. Lineage: Eukaryota; Viridiplantae; Chlorophyta; Mamiellophyceae; Mamiellales. The record is from RNAcentral.